RNAcentral lists this long non-coding RNA (850 nucleotides) under Olea europaea subsp. europaea. Lineage: Eukaryota; Viridiplantae; Streptophyta; Magnoliopsida; Lamiales; Oleaceae. The record is from RNAcentral.
CUAAAAUAACGAUAUUUGAUGGUUCUUUUGACAAAUUAUGUCCUAAAUUUAUUUUGUAUUUCACGUUUAAUAGGUAAAAUUCUAUGAAUGAAAAGGAAUUGAAGGAAGCAAGCAAAAAUCGGCAAAGAAAUGACAAAGUCCAAAGUACGAGGAUUAAAUUGGCUAUUAGAUACAAAAUUUAGAGAUCAAAUUUCAUACUUUAAAAAGUGAUGAAUUUGAAUUGAAUCAAAGAAUACAUAAAUUGUAAGAAUGAAAGGACUCAAGGACUCAUGAUUUUCAUUAUCUAAAAAAGACAAAGGACUUGAAGGGUACUACAUCAUUAAUGGUUUGAAUUGGAGUUCUUUUUUUUAGUCAAAAAGUGAAGCAGCUUUGGGGAAAAAUUGAGCACCAAGUUGCUGAAUAUAUGUACGGGGUGGCAGCCUUUAUUAAAAGAAAAGACACGAACGGAAAUUUGAGGGGCAGAUUAUUAUAUAUUUUGCUCACACUUCGAGGCUGCCAGAAGAGAUUGACACAGACGUUGGGAAUUAGGGAGCUUUGGAGUUCUUUUCUGCCAUUAAUAGAGAGAGAACACGUGCCGUCUGACGAGGAAAGGCAGUGGUCGGUUGGAGCGAAAUUGGAAAUUAAUCACGUUCGUCGAUUCUUGAUGAUAUCUUUCAUAAUUUCUUAUUUUUCCCUUAUUAAUAUGUGUAGUUAAAUUUAAUUUUAGGGUUGAUAAUGUAAUCAAGUUAGGACCUUUAUUUAUUUUAUUUGAAAUUCUUCUUCUUUUACAUUUUAUGUGUAGAUUUUAAUUAUGUUAUCAAUACUUUGAAUUUUCUGGUAAAUUAUUCAAUGAUUUUGUGUACAAUAAUUA